RNAcentral lists this microRNA precursor (130 nucleotides) under Podarcis lilfordi (Lilford's wall lizard). Lineage: Eukaryota; Metazoa; Chordata; Lepidosauria; Squamata; Lacertidae. The record is from RNAcentral.
CUUCCAGUAGCACCUUAGAGACCAACUAAGUUUGUUAUUGGUAUGAGCUUUCGUAUCUGAAGAAGUGUGCAUGAGCACGAAAGCUCAUACUAAUAACAAACUUAGUUGGUCUCUAAGGUGCUACUGGAAG